Molecule: ribosomal RNA, 898 nt
Filed under: Ophiostoma piliferum
Lineage: Eukaryota; Fungi; Ascomycota; Sordariomycetes; Ophiostomatales; Ophiostomataceae
Description: LSU rRNA
Rfam family: Eukaryotic large subunit ribosomal RNA
Source: RNAcentral
AGCAUAUCAAUAAGCGGAGGAAAAGAAACCAACAGGGAUUGCCCCAGUAACGGCGAGUGAAGCGGCAACAGCUCAAAUUUGAAAUCUGGCCCUCGGGCCCGAGUUGUAAUUUGGAGAGGAUGCUUCUGGCGCGGCGCCGUCCGAGUUCCUUGGAACAGGACGCCAUAGAGGGUGAGAGCCCCGUACGGGCGGCCGCCUAGCCUUUGCGAAGCUCCUUCGACGAGUCGAGUAGUUUGGGAAUGCUGCUCAAAAUGGGAGGUAAAUUUCUUCUAAAGCUAAAUACCGGCCAGAGACCGAUAGCGCACAAGUAGAGUGAUCGAAAGAUGAAAAGCACUUUGAAAAGAGGGUUAAAAAGUACGUGAAAUUGUUGAAAGGGAAGCGCCUGUGACCAGACUUGCGGCCCGCGGAUCAUCCGGUGUUCCUCACCGGUGCGCUCCGCGGGCCGCAGGCCAGCAUCGGCUCUCCUGGGGGGACAAAGGUCGCGGGAACGUGGCUCCUUAGGGAGUGUUAUAGCCCGCUUCGUCAUGCCUCCGGGGGGGCCGAGGACCGCGCUUCGGCAAGGAUGCUGGCGUAAUGGUCACCGGCGACCCGUCUUGAAACACGGACCAAGGAGUCAAGCAUUGGGGCGAGUGUCUGGGUGCCAAACCCGCACGCGAAAUGAAAGUAAACGCAGGUGAGAGCUUCGGCGCAUCACCGACCGAUCCUGAUGUCUUCGGAUGGAUUUGAGUAAGAGCCUUACCGCUUGGACCCGAAAGAUGGUGAACUAUGCCUGUAUAGGGUGAAGCCAGAGGAAACUCUGGUGGAGGCUCGCAGCGGUUCUGACGUGCAAAUCGAUCGUCAAAUAUGGGCAUGGGGGCGAAAGACUAAUCGAACCAUCUAGUAGCUGGUUACCGCCGAA